CCUACGGGGGGCAGCAGUGAGGAAUAUUGGUCAAUGGCCGGAAGGCUGAACCAGCCAAGCCGCGUGAAGGACGAAGGUGCCAAGCAUUGUAAACUUCUUUUGUCAAGGGACAAAAUCAGGCUCGAGAGCCUGACCGAGGGUACUUGAAGAAAAAGCAUCGGCUAACUCCGUGCCAGCAGCCGCGGUAAUACGGAGGAUGCGAGCGUUAUCCGGAUUUAUUGGGUUUAAAGGGUGCGUAGGCGGGCUGUUAAGUCAGCGGUAAAAGCCCGGGGCUCAACCCCGGCGAGCCGUUGAGACUGGCUGCCUUGAGAUGUCGAGAGGUAUGCGGAAUGCGCGGUGUAGCGGGGAAAUGCUUAGAUAUUGCGCAGAACUCCGAUUGCGAAGGCAGCAUACCGGCGGCGAUCUGACGCUGAGGCACGAAAGCGUGGGUAUCGAACAGGAUUAGAUACCCCGGUAGUC
Molecule: ribosomal RNA, 459 nt
Filed under: uncultured bacterium
Lineage: Bacteria
Description: partial 16S ribosomal RNA
Rfam family: Bacterial small subunit ribosomal RNA
Source: RNAcentral